This 512-nucleotide ribosomal RNA is filed under the name uncultured bacterium. Its description in RNAcentral is "partial 16S ribosomal RNA". It matches the Rfam family "Bacterial small subunit ribosomal RNA", at positions 28 to 523 of the family's 1533-position model. The record is from RNAcentral.
GACGAACGCUGGCGGCGUGCCUAAUACAUGCAAGUCGAGCGGAUUGAUGGGAGCUUGCUCCCUGAUAUCAGCGGCGGACGGGUGAGUAACACGUGGGCAACCUGCCUAUAAGACUGGGAUAACUUCGGGAAACCGGAGCUAAUACCGGAUAAUCCCUUUCCUCUCAUGAGGAAAGGCUGAAAGAUGGUUUACGCUAUCACUUAUAGAUGGGCCCGCGGCGCAUUAGCUAGUUGGUGAGGUAACGGCUCACCAAGGCAACGAUGCGUAGCCGACCUGAGAGGGUGAUCGGCCACACUGGGACUGAAACACGGCCCAGACCCCUACGGGAGGCAGCAGUAGGGAAUCUUCCGCAAUGGACGAAAGUCUGACGGAGCAACGCCGCGUGAGUGAUGAAGGUUUUCGGAUCGUAAAACUCUGUUGUUAGGGAAGAACAAGUACGAGAGUAACUGCUCGUACCUUGACGGUACCUAACCAGAAAGCCACGGCUAACUACGUGCCAGCCGCCGCCGUAA